Molecule: long non-coding RNA, 4799 nt
Filed under: Musa acuminata (dwarf banana)
Lineage: Eukaryota; Viridiplantae; Streptophyta; Magnoliopsida; Zingiberales; Musaceae
Description: long non-coding RNA (MACU_LNC008941)
Source: RNAcentral
GAGUCCCUCGAGACUCACCUAUAUCGCGAUUCGCUAUCUUGCUUACGACAUAGAGAUGUCACCGGUGACCUGAGGGCAUGGUAUACUUGGUCGAGUCCCUCGAGGGUAUAUCAUCAAAUCAGACUCAUCUUGUAACGAAGGUGUUGACUUAACCGAGCAUCAUGAUUGGUCGAGUCCCUCGAGGCCAUGAUGAUUCGGAGGCCGAACAGGACGGGAAUCACAAGGAGUUGUGAUCGGCAAGAGUUGCCUACCUUUUAGGCUUAAUGUGAUUGGUCGAGUCCCUCGAGGUUACACUAAGACGCUGAUUGGAUCCUGAUCCCUACUAGAAGUCUGCCGGAGACUUCCGUUUCACGUGCUGAGGGUGUCGCGUGACUCGUUAGUAAAAUAGUGGGAGCAUAUUAAGAUAGAAGUCCAUAUCUUGAUAGUUUAUUUCUUGCAAAAUCUGCAUGUUAUUCAUUUCUGCUGCAUCUUUAUUUUCAGAAAAUGUCGCUUUCAAAUCCGUUACGUGACAUACUUGAUGUCAACCGCCUCACUGGUCCAAAUUAUACAGAUUGGCUCCGUAACUUGAGAAUUAUUCUCACAGCGGAGAAAAUCAUGUACGUCCUUGAUACAGUGAUGCCUACGCCCGAAGAAGGGGCAAGCGAGGAUGAGAUCGCUCGCUACGUGAAGUACAUUGAUGACUCCACUCUUGCUCAGUGCUAUAUGUUGGGCUCUAUGACUCUUGAGUUACAGAGACAACAUGAAAAGAUGGAUGCCAGAUCCAUUCUCCUACUUGUCCGUAAAUUGUUUGAGGAACAGGGAAGGACUCAGCGAUAUGAGAUAUCUAAGAGCCUCUUCCGCGCUAGGAUGACUGAGGGGACACCGGUUCAGAACCAUGUCCUAAAGAUGAUUGAGUGGAUAGAGAAACUCACUAGUCUAGGAAUGGUCCUAGAGGAUAACUUGUGUGUGGACAUUGUGCUUCAGUCCCUACCAGAUUCUUUUUCACAAUUCAUAAUGAAUUUUAAUAUGAACAAGCUUGAGAUGACUCUCUCAGAGCUCCUCAAUAUGUUGAGGGAGGCAGAGAGUACUAUUAAGAAUGAGAAGCCAGUUCUCUACACUGGUGAGACCAAAAAGAAAAGGAAAGCAGAAAGGUCCCUUAAGAAGGGAAAGGGCAAGGGCAAACCAGGUAAAGCAAAGGUUACUAAGAAAGACCCAGUAAAGGACAAAGGCCAAUGCUUCCACUGUGGUAAAGAUGGGCAAUGGAAGAGGAACUGCAAAGAGUACCUUGCAGAAAGGGCGAAAUAGAAGCUUGGAGAAGCUUCAGGUACAUUCAUGAUCAAUCUCCAAUUGGCAGAUUUUUGUGAUAGUGCAUUGGUAUUGGAUACCAGUAUUACUUAUUACAUCUACAAUUUAUUGUAAAUUCUAGCAAAGCCGAGGGGAGAUUGACGAGAGGAAUAUUGCAUAAAGGUUUGUUUAUGCAAGACACUACUCUACAUAUCAUGAAUGUAAGUGUCUAAGAGGAAACGAGAUGAGGUGAACAGUGCAUACCUAUGACAUUGUAGGCUAGGUCACAUCCAUGAAAGAAGGAUUCAAAAGUUGCUAAAUAAUGGAUAUCUAGAUCCAUUCGACUAUGUGUCAUAUGUAACUUGUGAGCCUUGCAUUCGUGGAAAACUGACCAACUCUCCAUUUAGUGGAACUGGAGAGAGAGCCACUGAGUUGUUGGAACUCAUACAUAGUGAUGUAUGUGGACCCAUGUCAACUCAUGCCAUUGGAGGUUACCCCUACUUCAUUACAUUUAUUGAUGAUUUCUCAAGGUAUGGAUAUGUGUACUUAAUGAAGUACAAGUCCGAGGCCUUUGAGAAAUUCAGAGUAUAGGAAUGAGGUGGAGAACCAAACUGGAAAGAGUAUCAAAACUCUUCGAUCAGAUCGAGGAGGUGAGUACUUAAGUACAGAGUUUACUCAGUUCCUCAAGGACCAUGGGAUAUUAUCCCAAUGGACACCUCCUUAUACACCUCAGCUCAAUGAUGUCUUUGAAAGGAGAAAUUGUACGUUAUUAGAUAUGGUACGAUCCAUGAUGAGUUUCGCUGACCUACCCAUCUCAUUCUGGGGAUAUGCCCUAGAAACCGCAGCUUACCUUCUGAACAGAGUUCCAACUAAGUCGGUAGUGUCUACACCAUAUGAGAUAUGGAAAGGGAAGAAGCCUGAUCUUAAGGUUGUUAAGAUUUGGGGCUGCCCUACCCACGUUAAAAUACAUAACCCCGAUAAGUUAGAAUCAAGGACAGAGCGAUGCAAAUUUGUGGGAUACCCCAAGGAAACUUAUGGGUAUUAUUUCUAUCAUCUCAAGGACCAAAAGGUCUUUGUAGCUAAGAGAGUAGUGUUCCUUGAGAAGGAACACAUUCUUGGCGGAGACAGUGGGAGAAUGAUAGAGUUGAGCGAGGUUGGAGAACCAAGCUUAAGCACCACUCUAUAGCCCGAGUCUGUUCAGGUACCUAAUACACAAGUUUCAACUUUACGCAGGUAUGAUAGAGUAUCCCAUCCUCCUGAAGGAUAUGUGGGACAUAUUAGAAGAGAGGAUGUUGAGGAUAUUGAUCCUCAGACCUACGAGGAGGCUAUUAUGAGUAUAGACUCCGGGUAGUGGCAAGAAGCCAUGAAUUCUGAGAUGGAUUCUAUGUACUCCAAUAAGGUUUGGAACCUAGUUGAUGUGCCCAAAGGUAUUGUACCCAUCGGUUGCAAGUGGAUCUUUAAGAAAAAGAUCAGAGUAGAUGGAAAGGUAGAGACCUAUAAAGCAAGGCUAGUGGCUAAGGGGUAUUGUCAAAGGCAAGGUGUUGACUACGACGAAACCUUCUCACCUGUAGCAAUGCUAAAAUCCAUCAGAAUUCUAUUGGCUAUUGCAGCACACUAUGAUUAUGAGAUCUGGCAGAUGGAUGUGAAAACCAUAUUCCUCAACGGGAACCUCGAGGAGGAGGUGUAUAUGAUGCAACUUGAGGGAUUCGUGUCCAAGAACUGCCCAGAUACUGUGUGUAGGUUGCUUAGAUCCAUUUAUGGACUAAAGCAAGCUUCCCGAAGUUGGAACAUAAGAUUUGAUGAGGCAAUCAGAUCUUAUGACUUCGUUAAGAACGAAGAUGAGCCUUGUGUGUACAGGAAGGUAAGUGGGAGCGCUAUUACUUUUUUUUUGGUGUUAUAUGUGGAUGACAUCCUGAUCAUUGGGAAUGACGUAGGAAUGCUAUCCACGGUAAAGGCUUGGUUAUCUAGACACUUUUCCAUGAAGGACUUAGGGGAAGCAUCCUAUAUCUUGGGGAUUAGAAUCUAUAGAGAUAGAUCCAAGAGGAUGCUUGGCUUGUCCCAGUCCAGGUACAUAGAAACCAUUGUCAAAAUGUUUGGCAUUGAAAAUUCCAAGAAAGGGCGAACAUGGAUAUGAUACCUUAUGCCUCAGCAAUAGGGUCUAUCAUGUAUGCCAUGCUAUGUACUAGGCCUGAUAUAGCGCAUGCUCUGAGUGUCACGAGCAGGUAUCAGGCGGAUCCAGGCUUGGAGCACUGGAAAGUAGUAAAGUGUAUCCUUAUGUACUUGAGAAGGACUAAGAAUCUUUUACUAGUAUAUGGAGGUAAUAGCCUUAAGGUUGAAGGCUACACUGACUCAAGUUUUCAGUCUGAUGUCGAUGAUAGCAAGUCGAAUUCAGGGUAUGUGUACACCUUGAAUGGAGGAGCAGUGUGCUGGAAGAGUUUCAAGCAAGAUACCACUGAUGACUCGACCAUAGAGGUGGAGUACAUUGCUGCAUUAGAUGUAGCAAAGGAGGGAGUCUGGGUGAAGAAGUUCAUCACAGAUUUGAGAGUCAUGCUGGGUAACGAGGAGCCGAUCUCCUUAUAUUGCGAUAACAACGGGGCGAUUACUCAAAUAAGGGAACCCGGGUCUCAUCAGAAGUGUUCUGAGGAGGUUCCAACUUAUCAGAGAGAUCGUAACCCGAGGAGAUGUAGCAGUGGAAAGAGUUCCAUCCGAAGAUAACAUUGCAGAUCCAUUGAUAAAACCGUUGUCUCAUUUUGUCUUUGAGCGUCACAGGGGUCUGAUGGGGAUCAGACACAUAGGUGAUUGGCUUUAGGUCAAGUGGGAGAUUGCUAGUCAUAAGUGCCCAGCAAGCCAAUCACGUGAGUGAUGGCACGUGUGACUUGAUACAUAAUCUUUUUGCUUAUUAUAUUUUGGCGUAUAUCACUUUAUAACUAUUGCAUAAAUGCAUACAUAUAUUGUGAUGUCCUUGGAUUUGUGCAAUGGGAAUCGGAUCGUGAUGAGAUCACGAUAAUGAGAUCGAUUCACCUUUAAACACAUAUCCUAAAUGAUCCCGGUCAUAGGUUACUCGAGAGGGACAUCGUGAUAACCGAAUACACUAGUGUGCUGUAUACCCGUCCAUAUGAUGGAUGCAGCUGGUCUCAUAGCUGCUUGUGUAGGGACACUAGGGAUACAAUACAGGUGCUCAUUGGAGAAUGAGUUCACUGAUUGAUCCGCUUACGGAAUGCUGGAUGGUUGAUGAUGCCUUAUUGUCAGACAGCGAUUCCGUAGUCCUAGUGGUGUAUCUGGUCCUUAGACUUGAGACACCAAGGAUGUCCUGUAUGAGUGCUCCACUCUUUGAUACCAGACUUAUAGGUUUGGCUGUCCCAGAUUUAGUACAGCUGGUCAUUGGGAGUGGUAGUCGACCUUACGAGGGCUAUUGAGUGUCGAUAGAGGAUCAUCCACUCUCUGCGUCAUGAGAGGAAUAUCCCAUGUGUUCUUGCUCAGACAAAUCCCUGGCUAGGGUCAUUCGGGUUGAGAGAGAAAGAGUUCUCUGGGAGAAU